AACUCUACAAUGCAGGAGACUGCGAUAGGGGGACAUCGAGUGGCAUCCACCUUGGGUGCCUGUCCAACCGUACGGUUGUAGCAAGGGCCGGCAAGACCGGUGCCAGCCGCCGCGGUAACACCGGCGGCCCGAGUGGUGAUCGUGAUUAUUGGGUCUAAAGGGUCCGUAGCCGGUUUGGUCAGUCCUCCGGGAAAUCUGAUAGCUCAACUAUUAGGCUUCGGGGGAUACUGCCAGACUUGGAACCGGGAGAGGUAAGAGGUACUACAGGGGUAGGAGUGAAAUCUUGUAAUCCCUGUGGGACCACCUGUGGCAGGGGCGUCUUACCAGAACGGUUCGACGGUGAGGGACGAAAGCUGGGGGCACGAACCGGAUUAGAUACCCGGGUAGUCCCAGCCGUAAACGAUGCUCGCUAGGUGUCAGGUGGUGCCGCAGGGAAGCCGUGAAGCGAGCCACCUGGGAAGUACGGCCGCAAGGCUGAAACUU
This 483-nucleotide ribosomal RNA is filed under the name uncultured archaeon. RNAcentral's name for it is "bacterial SSU rRNA". It matches the Rfam family "Archaeal small subunit ribosomal RNA", at positions 346 to 857 of the family's 1478-position model. The record is from RNAcentral.